This 891-nucleotide ribosomal RNA is filed under the name Halogeometricum sp. enrichment culture clone SVC_G11. RNAcentral describes it as "bacterial SSU rRNA". It matches the Rfam family "Archaeal small subunit ribosomal RNA", at positions 38 to 928 of the family's 1478-position model. Lineage: Archaea; Methanobacteriati; Methanobacteriota; Halobacteria; Halobacteriales; Haloferacaceae. The record is from RNAcentral.
GUCCGAUUUAGCCAUGCUAGUUGCGCGAGUUCAGACUCGCAGCAGAUAGCUCAGUAACACGUGGCCAUUCUACCCUGCAGACACGGACAACCUCGGGAAACUGAGGCUAAUCCGCGAUACCGAUCCCACGCUGGAAUGCCGGGAUCCACAAACGCUCCGGCGCUGCAGGAUGCGGCUGCGGCCGAUUAGGUAGACGGUGGGGUAACGGCCCACCGUGCCGAUAAUCGGUACGGGUUGUGAGAGCAAGAGCCCGGAGACGGAAUCUGAGACAAGAUUCCGGGCCCUACGGGGCGCAGCAGGCGCGAAACCUUUACACUGCACGCAAGUGCGAUAAGGGGACUCCGAGUGCGAGGGCAUAUAGUCCUCGCUUUUGAGAACCGUAAGGUGGUUCUCGAAUAAGAGCUGGGCAAGACCGGUGCCAGCCGCCGCGGUAAUACCGGCAGCUCAAGUGAUGGCCAAUCUUAUUGGGCCUAAAGCGUCCGUAGCUGGCCGUGAAAGUUCGUCGGGAAAUCCAUCCGCUCAACGGAUGGGCGUCCGGCGAAAACUUCACGGCUUGGGACCGGAAGGCUCGAGGGGUACGUCCGGGGUAGGAGUGAAAUCCUGUAAUCCUGGACGGACCGCCGAUGGCGAAAGCACCUCGAGAAGGCGGAUCCGACAGUGAGGGACGAAAGCUAGGGUCUCGAACCGGAUUAGAUACCCGGGUAGUCCUAGCCGUAAACGAUGUUCACUAGGUGUGGCACAGGCUACGAGCCUGUGCUGUGCCGUAGGGAAGCCGAGAAGUGAACCGCCUGGGAAGUACGUCCGCAGGGAUGAAAACUUAAAGGAAUUGGCGGGGGAGCACUACAACCGGAGGAGCUUGCGGUUUAAUUGGGACUCAACGCCGGACAUCUC